This 330-nucleotide ribosomal RNA is filed under the name uncultured eukaryote. RNAcentral's name for it is "partial 18S ribosomal RNA". It matches the Rfam family "Eukaryotic small subunit ribosomal RNA", at positions 1470 to 1796 of the family's 1831-position model. The record is from RNAcentral.
CCCUUAGAUGUUCUGGGCCGCACGAGCGCUACACUGAUGCAUUCAACGAGUCUAAAACCUGGUCUGAUAGGGCUGGGUAAUCUUUUGAAAGUGCAUCGUGAUUGGGAUAGAUGAUUGCAAUUCUUCAUCUUCAACGAGGAAUGCCUAGUAAACGCAAGUCAUCAGCUUGCAUUGAUUACGUCCCUGCCCUUUGUACACACCGCCCGUCGCUCCUACCGAUUGAAUGAUCCGAUGAAUACCAUGGAUUGAGAGUACGAAUGGGUUCGCUCAUUUCUGCUGCUCGAGAAGUGGAGUAAAUCUUAUCAUUUAGAGGAAGGAGAAGUCGUAACA